RNAcentral lists this ribosomal RNA (515 nucleotides) under uncultured bacterium. RNAcentral's name for it is "bacterial SSU rRNA". It matches the Rfam family "Bacterial small subunit ribosomal RNA", at positions 391 to 906 of the family's 1533-position model. The record is from RNAcentral.
GCCAUGCCGCGUGAAGGAUGAAGGCGUUCUGCGUUGUAAACUUCUUUUAUCUGGGAAGAAACCUACCUUUUCUAAGGUAGCCGACGGUACCAGAGGAAUAAGCACCGGCUAACUCCGUGCCAGCAGCCGCGGUAAUACGGAGGGUGCAAGCGUUAUCCGGAUUCACUGGGUUUAAAGGGUGUGUAGGCGGAUAUUUAAGUCCGAGGUGAAAUCUCUGAGCUCAACUCAGAAACUGCCUUGGAUACUAUUUAUCUUGAAUAUCGUUGAGGUAGGCGGAAUAUGUCAUGUAGCGGUGAAAUGCAUAGAUAUGACAUAGAACACCAAUUGCGAAGGCAGCUUGCUAAACGAUGAUUGACGCUGAGGCACGAAAGCGUGGGGAUCAAACAGGAUUAGAUACCCUGGUAGUCCACGCCCUAAACGAUGAUUACUCGACAUACGCGAUAUACAGUGUGUGUCUGAGCGAAAGCAUUAAGUAAUCCACCUGGGAAGUACGACCGCAAGGUUGAAACUCAAAG